GCGUCCGUUUCGUUUAAGUCGAUCCCGAACACAAGCGUCGGGACGGCGAGUUGAGGUGUCGUUCCGCGAGGGGCGUCCCUUCAAGUGC
Molecule: unclassified non-coding RNA, 88 nt
Filed under: Nudospongilla moorei
Lineage: Eukaryota; Metazoa; Porifera; Demospongiae; Spongillida; Spongillidae
Description: sequence contains 5.8S rRNA gene, ITS2
Source: RNAcentral